CGUCUAUAUACGUAUAGCAUAUCAAUAAGCGGAGGAAAAGAAACUAACAAGGAUUCCCUUAGUAACGGCGAGUGAAGCGGGAAGAGCUCAAAUUUGAAAUCUUCAAGGUUCUACCUUGACGAAUUGUAGUUUAUAGAAGUGUUUUCUGUUAGUAGAGUUUGGUAAAAGUUCUUUGGAAUAGGACAUCAUAGAGGGUGAGAAUCCCGUAUUUGGUCAUUCUCUCUAGCUUUGUGAUACACUUUCAACGAGUCGGAUUGUUUGGGAAUGCAGUCCAAAAUGGGUGGUAAAUUUCAUCUAAAGCUAAAUAUUGGCGAGAGACCGAUAGCGAACAAGUACCGUGAGGGAAAGAUGAAAAGAACUUUGAAAAGAGAGUUAAACAGUACGUGAAAUUGUCAAAAGGGAAGCGUUUGACACCAGUGUUGUUUUUCCGAAAAUCAAUUAAGAAUGGCCGGAUUUUAAGUUUCAUGACCUUAAAAGCUUGUUUCUUAUUUUUCUUGUCUUUCUUAAUGCACUUUUCGGUUAACAAGUCAACAUCAAUUUCUUUUGUUGUAAAAGGUUAAGAGGAAGGUGGCUUUACUUUCGGGUAAAGUGUUUAUAGCCUUUUAACUCUGCAAUCGGAGAGAUUGAGGUCUGCAGCGUAGAUCCUUCGGGGCUAGAUACGUUUGUGCUAAGUUAUAGCUUUUCAUAGACAACUUGUUGACUAUGUUUAGUCUUGUAGCUUACCCGCAUGCGCUAUUUUACCUACGCUUAGGAUGUUGAUAUGCAUGACUGAUAU
This 775-nucleotide ribosomal RNA is filed under the name uncultured Neocallimastigales. Its description in RNAcentral is "partial large subunit ribosomal RNA". It matches the Rfam family "Eukaryotic large subunit ribosomal RNA", at positions 26 to 640 of the family's 3401-position model. The record is from RNAcentral. Lineage: Eukaryota; Fungi; Neocallimastigomycota; Neocallimastigomycetes; Neocallimastigales.